UGGGGAAUAUUGCACAAUGGGGGAAACCCUGAUGCAGCGACGCCGCGUGGAGGAAGAAGGUCUUCGGAUUGUAAACUCCUGUUGUUGAGGAAGAUAAUGACGGUACUCAACAAGGAAGUGACGGCUAACUACGUGCCAGCAGCCGCGGUAAAACGUAGGUCACAAGCGUUGUCCGGAAUUACUGGGUGUAAAGGGAGCGCAGGCGGGAGAACAAGUUGGAAGUGAAAUCCAUGGGCUCAACCCAUGAACUGCUUUCAAAACUGUUUUUCUUGAGUAGUGCAGAGGUAGGCGGAAUUCCCGGUGUAGCGGUGGAAUGCGUAGAUAUCGGGAGGAACACCAGUGGCGAAGGCGGCCUACUGGGCACCAACUGACGCUGAGGCUCGAAAGUGUGGGUAGCAAAC
Molecule: ribosomal RNA, 401 nt
Filed under: uncultured bacterium
Lineage: Bacteria
Description: bacterial SSU rRNA
Rfam family: Bacterial small subunit ribosomal RNA
Source: RNAcentral